Molecule: transfer RNA, 81 nt
Filed under: Felis catus (domestic cat)
Lineage: Eukaryota; Metazoa; Chordata; Mammalia; Carnivora; Felidae
Rfam family: tRNA
About the family: Transfer RNA (tRNA) molecules are approximately 80 nucleotides in length. Their secondary structure includes four short double-helical elements and three loops (D, anti-codon, and T loops). Further hydrogen bonds mediate the characteristic L-shaped molecular structure. tRNAs have two regions of fundamental functional importance: the anti-codon, which is responsible for specific mRNA codon recognition, and the 3' end, to which the tRNAs corresponding amino acid is attached (by aminoacyl-tRNA synthetases). tRNAs cope with the degeneracy of the genetic code in two manners: having more than one tRNA (with a specific anti-codon) for a particular amino acid; and 'wobble' base-pairing, i.e. permitting non-standard base-pairing at the 3rd anti-codon position.
Source: Rfam by way of RNAcentral
GCCUGGGUGGCUCAGUUGGUUAAGCAUCUGACUUCAGCUCAGGACAUGAUCUCACAGUGAGUUCAAGCCCCACAUCAGGCU